GUUGGAGUUGAGUGGGGGAAAUUGAGUUGGGGAUUCAGGAUUUAUUACUAAAACUUAAUUUGGAUCGGCCAGUCUAUUUAUUAGUCAUCUUCAUUCUUUUCAGGUUAAUAACGUUUAUUCAUUAUUACAUUUAGAUCAAUAGAGCUCAUAGUUUUAGUAUGCUAAGGGGGGGUUGAUUUAUGGGGAAGUGCGGGAGAACAGAGGACUUGUCAGUGGGGAAGUGAUUACAGGUGUAAAGCGGGGAUCUGGAUUUCAGGAGUGUCACCCCUGGAAAAGUGUUAGAGCGGGGAUCUGGAUUUCAGGAGUGUGUUCCUCUCCAGAGGAUAGGUCUGGAGAGGUGAGUCAGGAAGUUGUCUCCAUGAGGAGUUCUUCAUUAGACUGUUGUUGAGUCUGCCUAUCGUAAAUCUCGAUGCCUGAAUAAUACAUAUAUUUGCUACGUCAUGGUCCAGCGUUUCUGUUCUGAUGUGCGCAUUGUGCCAAGAACUUUACUAAUAGUCCACUUCAAAAAUACAGACCAUUUGACCUCAUAUUUCACAAUCAGAAUAUCACAUUGUUGAAUUCAUCAUUCCUCAAAUCAUAAUGGGUCAUCCUCACUGCAAAAAUAACAACCUAACACACUUGAGUUUAUGUUUCAGUUGAUUUAUUAGCAUGAACAGUCAGAAAAACAGUUCACAAAACAGACGUUAAGUCUGAAGAAAAAAAAGGAAAAAUGAAGAGGUAAAUGUUAAAGAAGUGAGGGCCAGAGACAGAGCUGACCAGCAGCAUCACUUUAAGACACUGACCAGAUGAUGGCUAUUACAUUGUUGGUGGAUAACCUUUUUAAAGGGCUGCAGGGUACAUAACCUUUGGAAAUAUUUAAACAUUCAUGUGGUGGCCAUUAACAGUGAUGCAUGUUAAAUCCUCUGACCUGUGAGGGGUUGCUUCCUCAGACUUGCAGUCAGUGGACAAGCUGGGAUCAUUAAUUUUGGUAAUAGCUGAAGAAUCCACAAUGAAUACUCCCCAUUUUCCUCAAGUAUCUGAAGAUAAAACUACUUAGUACUCUGAAAUUUUCACCUAACUUAAUGAAAUUAACUUUGAUUUGACUCUCAAAUGACUUUGGCCUUUGGUAAUGAAGUGGUUCAGCAUGAUCAUUGUGUCUGUUAUCAGCAGUCAUACCAAGGAAAUGACUUUGCUCUAUAAAUCAGCGGGCUUACCUCUCAGGUGAGUUGUCAACACAUCUGUCUUGAGAGUGUCUGAGGACUUCAAAUGUCAAGGGUUAGAAAAUCUUCCAUUUACACAGAGUGGCAUGUAGCAAAGGUCACAGACACCUUGCUGCUGCCAGAUCCAACUAUUUAGCCAUGAACCUGCUCUAACUUUCCUUAUAAGCAUGAGCCUGUGAAAGUAUGACAACAAUAAGCAAAAACUUCACCACAGCAUUGGCAUAUUGCAUGAUAACUGCUUUAAAAUGUGUUAUUUUGAAAUGUCUGGGACUUUGAAUACAAACCGACAAUGUAGUUUUCAUUAAACACAAUUAUUUUUAUCAGACUAAUUUAUUUAUGAUUUGUCAGCUGAAUCAGCAACACUACUGGGGCCUACUGAACCAAACAGUGCAGGUUUGAGGCCAAAGACUGAGGAUCCUGAAAUAGUCUUUCUGCGUAUUCAGACACUCUUCCUUUUCCACUCUCUCCCCCUAAGAGCAACUCUAUUAAAAGCAAGCAUGUGGCCUGCAAGCAAACUGCAGUCAGCGGGCUAACAUGCAUACUCUCUUACCACACUGUUGGGCUGCUUAAUGCACUUUCACUGACCUUCUUUCAGUGACUGACGGGGGUAGAACAUGAGCAUGCUUAUGGUCUUUGAACAAAACACUAUUCUUUGAAAGAGUCGGAUUCAGGGUUUUUGCUUUUCCUCUAAUUUUAUUACUAUGGCGCUUAUAAUUCCAUCUCUUUAUAGCUUUACAUAAAAACAGUUCAGUUUUCGAGAGGUUCAGGUUUCGGUUCAGGGUAUUACUUAGUACUGUGCGUUAAAAGAGUUCCAGGGUCAUAGCUUGUAUUACAAUGACAUGUCACCAACAGCCUUCCUGUAUGCCAUCCACUAACUUUCUAUUUCACACAAGCUAGUUUUGUUAGACUCGAUGGUUAAAACUGACAGCUUCUUAAUACAUAUCCAAAAAGCAGCAACAGGUGUGAGCUGUGCAGCCAUUGUGCAGAGCCGGAGCUUGUCAAGAGGCAAGGCAGAUAGUUGCUUGGGGCCCCAGGCCACUAGGGGGCUGACAAACCUUAGUCCACAAAAAAGUCCUAACUUAUUGCAACCCUAUUAAACAACCAGUGGUCAAAUUGCAAUGACAUCUUAGAUGGUUACCCCCCUCAAGGGGCCCCAUGUCAUCCCUGUCGCAUUGCUUUGUGAGCGUGUCAAUCAAAGUAACGUCAAAAUCAGCCGUGAGGUGGAGUUACUUAUCAGGGAGUGAGAAAAGAAAGAAAUAAGGACAAAGCAAGACAGUGGUAAGUGGAGCAGAUAGCGAAGUGUGGCAAACACUUUAACUAACAUUCGUAAGGCUGGCUGUUAAUUGUUUGGUAGUUAGUUAGCCGUGUACGCGGAGCGGGAGAUGUUAGCCUGGGGUUUCCACUUUGUUGACUUGCUGUUACCCUCUGUUGACACACCCGCACUGUCUUGUGAGGUUAGCUGACAGAGAGAAAGCGCAGUUGUAAGGUACAAAAAUGAAAUGUCACCAAAGUAACUAGAACACCAGUAAGGGAGUGUUUUGGAUGGAAAAAAACAGCUAACCCAGACAACAACUUUCACCGUUAAUGAAACACUAUUAAUGAAAGUUGUGUCUUAACUAGCCUAACCCUUUGCUUUGAAAUUUUGAUCUAAAUUUAGACAGCGUGCUUUCUGCAUGAAAGACUAUCAACUUUGAAGCAUAUAUCAUACUGAAGUAAGUCUCAGACAUCAACUCUUAGAACAAAGGUGAGGUGUUGGCUAUGUGGUAAAACAUGCAAGAGCUGUAGCUAUUUUAAAGCACAAUUUUCAAGCUAUGCAGUAAUGAUGCUAAUUGUUUUUUAAAAAGUUUCUGUUCCUUACCUCUUUUGUUGGUUUUAGAUCAUUUAUAUGUUUAACGGUUGUCAGAGGGGCCCCUUGAAUUUUUGCUUGGGGCCCCGACACACUCUAGAAUUGGCUCUGCCAUUGUGCUCUCAGCACCAAUAAGGCGAGGAGCAGCCAGAGGGCUACUGAGCAUGAGACAGCUGCAGACACGUGUCAAAGCCGGAUGGUGCAAUUCUGCACAGUUACUGUCAUUAGCUGGUAAUUCAGGAUCUUAACCCUGAUUAGUUAUUGACUUAGAGAGGAUAAUUAAGAAAGAACAAAACUAAGAACAAAGGGGGCAGCACACAUGGUCAGACACAAAAAGAAUAUUUCAAUGAAUUGUAGUUGGUGACAUGAGAUGAUUGAAGUUCAGAAUUAAGACAAAAAAAUUGAUGAAAUAAUGUUGCCCACUGUAGCUUUUGGAGUCUUAAAUUGUUCUGCAGCCUUUAAAAAGCGACUGAAAACAGUGAUUGUUCCACUGCUUGAGCUGCUGAGGGCCUGUGCAGAGUCAACACCACAGACUGUCAGAGCAGGGACUGGAUAACAAACAAAUAAAGACACAAACAAACUGAACAAUCCUUCUGUUGUUCUUUUCCUAACUACAAGCAAAGCCCCUGACAAGUUGCAGCCUAAUUCUGUAUUUCAACAAAAUAGUAUUGGAUAUCUGUCAGGUCUUUUACCCAUCUGACAUUGCACUUGGGUAAAACCAAGCUCGUUUGGCCUGUUCUUUGUCCUAACCUGGAGACCUUUUAAUUGUGGAUCAUAUCUUUUUAGCUUGGUUAUAGACGUUUUACUUGGUUGUACUGCAAAAGAUCACUUUCUCCUUUUGGGGGGCUCACAUCAACAUCUGUACCUAUAAGAUGAAUAAAAUAUUAAUUCUUAUUGUCCAUUUAGUAAUCUUCAAUGAACCCUUAUGUGAUGCUACCUAGCAUUACAGCUCUUAGAAAGAACAUCCAAAUGGGACGAAUGGUUUAACUGUUCCUGUUUCUGUGGUAUGUUUCUGUGGUACAGUUGUAUUUGUAUUCCC
Molecule: long non-coding RNA, 4084 nt
Filed under: Xyrichtys novacula (pearly razorfish)
Lineage: Eukaryota; Metazoa; Chordata; Actinopteri; Labriformes; Labridae
Source: RNAcentral